GUGCUAAUGCAACAUGUUCAAAGACCAUUAUUAACUUUUGGUCCUAAUGCUUCAAUUUAGCUCAGAACUAGCCCAACUACGUGCAGGUACACAACUGUGGAGAUAAUAACGGGUCAUUAUGGUGGUUGUGGUGAGGUUUCUCGGCGGUUAAGGCGGACUGCAUGCAGCUAUUUAAGGUGCUUUUCAGCUUUGCUUUACUAAAAUUUUGACGGACACGACUAAAUAGACUGAGUCUCCUGUACAUAUAAGAGCGUUGUUUCCAGGCUUAAUAGUGGGCUUGCUGCUAGCAAAGAAGAUUUGCAGAAGGCAGAUUCUACAGCCAGGGAAGUGUUAUAAAUGGGUCAGGUCAUCCGAUUGAUUCAUUAACUUGGUCGGUUUAGUUUAUCAUCGUGUAAGGUCUGAGAUUAUACGGUGGAGGGUGAUUGGGAUUACCGUUUGGGGUGAAUGUGUAGGAUAAUGUCUAUACCGUAACGAGGUUGUGCGUGUUCGGGUAUAUCAAGUGUGCAAUAACUUAACAGUUACGUAAAGCACUUCGAUUUGUGUGGGGGCAUAUAUUUGUUUCGGCUAUAAUAUUUCUUUUAUAAGGCUUCCAUUAGAUUUCUUUCAUCAGUUGACUUGGUUCAGUUACUUGAACGAUUAUUUCAACAAUUUUAAGUUGUAUAUUUGUGUGUUAGUCCACCCGCGAAACUCGCGGGAUCUUAGACUAGUUAAAUAUAUAUACUUAUAUAUUUAUGUUAGGAAAAUGUAUCUUGAAAUAUACCUCGCAUUAUAUAAAUAAAGUAAUGCAUGCUAUAUUUCUAUAUAUUUAACUUCAAAAACAUCAUACGUGUAAAAUUAAAAGAUGGUUUCGUGUCCCGACCAAGUAUAUGUACCUAUCCUUAAAAUAUAUAUAUAU
RNAcentral lists this long non-coding RNA (895 nucleotides) under Helianthus annuus (common sunflower). RNAcentral's name for it is "hypothetical non coding rna". The record is from RNAcentral. Lineage: Eukaryota; Viridiplantae; Streptophyta; Magnoliopsida; Asterales; Asteraceae.